GCCAUCCAUCUCUGGAUCUAGGGUCCAAAUCAUAUCCUGAACCGGUAUGCAGUACAUCUAUUCCUAGACAUCCAAUUUAGAUCAAACGGCUACCACUCCAUCUCCCGAUCUCCCCAACUGAGCUUAGGCAGCGCCAGCGCUCUUGCCCCCCACGGGGCUUGCCGGAGUUGGUCGAGUCAGCGCCCCCAUCCAUUAAUCUCUAAUCCAAUCGGUGUGUGAGACGAGCAGGAAGCGCCGAAGCUGAGCAGCACGGAGACAAGCGGAACAGCGCUGCGUCCAGUGGCAGAUCUGAAUUUUGCUUCGUCCUGGUCUCCAGGAAGCCAAGCACCAGCCACCAGGCCAAGGGUUUGGAUCUGGCCGACCGACAGACUCAAGCUGUUCGUGUUCGUUCUAUAAAAUUAGGAAUAUGUUAUAUUUCACUCGAGAUUGGUCACUGUAAUAAUACAAUUCACUAGCUAAAAAUAUGUUUGUAGAUAUUUAAAAUGAAAAUAUUUUGAAGCAUUUUUAAGGCUUAAGAACUCGGAAAAUAAAUUUAUCUAGCAGCAUCAACUCAUGAACAAUAUGUAUUAAUUAUUGUAUUUCUAGAAUUCGUAUCGACUUAUUUUUAGGC
This is a long non-coding RNA of Zea mays, 610 nucleotides long. RefSeq lists it as uncharacterized. Lineage: Eukaryota; Viridiplantae; Streptophyta; Magnoliopsida; Poales; Poaceae. The transcript is spliced from 2 exons. The record is from RefSeq and is a predicted model, not a curated record.